Molecule: ribosomal RNA, 375 nt
Filed under: Burkholderia ubonensis
Lineage: Bacteria; Pseudomonadati; Pseudomonadota; Betaproteobacteria; Burkholderiales; Burkholderiaceae
Description: bacterial SSU rRNA
Rfam family: Bacterial small subunit ribosomal RNA
Source: RNAcentral
AAACCGGAGGAAGGUGGGGAUGACGUCAAGUCCUCAUGGCCCUUAUGGGUAGGGCUUCACACGUCAUACAAUGGUCGGAACAGAGGGUCGCCAACCCGCGAGGGGGAGCUAAUCCCAGAAAACCGAUCGUAGUCCGGAUUGCACUCUGCAACUCGAGUGCAUGAAGCUGGAAUCGCUAGUAAUCGCGGAUCAGCAUGCCGCGGUGAAUACGUUCCCGGGUCUUGUACACACCGCCCGUCACACCAUGGGAGUGGGUUUUACCAGAAGUGGCUAGUCUAACCGCAAGGAGGACGGUCACCACGGUAGGAUUCAUGACUGGGGUGAAGUCGUAACAAGGUAGCCGUAUCGGAAGGUGCGGCUGGAUCACCUCCUUUC